GACGAACGCUGGCGGCGCGCCUAACACAUGCAAGUCGAACGGAGUCAAGAGGAGCUUGCUUAUCUUGACUUAGUGGCGAACGGGUGAGUAACGCGUGAGUAACCUGCCCUGGAGUGGGGGACAACAGUUGGAAACGACUGCUAAUACCGCAUAAGCCCACGGAUCCGCAUGGAUCUGCGGGAAAAGGAUUUAUUCGCUUCAGGAUGGACUCGCGUCCAAUUAGCUAGUUGGUGAGGUAACGGCCCACCAAGGCGACGAUUGGUAGCCGGACUGAGAGGUUGAACGGCCACAUUGGGACUGAGACACGGCCCAGACUCCUACGGGAGGCAGCAGUGGGGGAUAUUGCACAAUGGGGGAAACCCUGAUGCAGCGACGCCGCGUGGAGGAAGAAGGUUUUCGGAUUGUAAACUCCUGUCGUUAGGGACGAUAAUGACGGUACCUAACAAGAAAGCACCGGCUAACUACGUG
This 468-nucleotide ribosomal RNA is filed under the name uncultured bacterium. Its description in RNAcentral is "partial 16S ribosomal RNA". It matches the Rfam family "Bacterial small subunit ribosomal RNA", at positions 28 to 507 of the family's 1533-position model. The record is from RNAcentral.